This 539-nucleotide long non-coding RNA is filed under the name Nicotiana benthamiana. RNAcentral's name for it is "long non-coding RNA (NBEN_LNC028840)". The record is from RNAcentral. Lineage: Eukaryota; Viridiplantae; Streptophyta; Magnoliopsida; Solanales; Solanaceae.
GUUCCCUCUCUUGGUAAUCUGUCCUACUCCAAUAUCAUCAAUGCAGCAUUGGAAGUCAGCCAUCUCUGAUUGGUGUACUGGUUGCCCAUUAAGUCUGUCAUCCACUCCUAACACACUGUUAAAGUCACCCACUAUAAGCCAUGGACCACUAUAUGUUUAGUUCUCAAACUCCGCCAUAGGGAUACUCUUUGCUGGAUGGAAUGAAGGCCAUAGACAAAGGUGAUAUAGCUAGCAAAUGUGGAGUUCUUGUCUGUCACCCGGCAGUGAAUCAUUUGCUCAGUGGUUUCUAGAGUUACAACAUGGAUAUUUGACAAUUUCCACAUUAUCCAUAUCCUCCCAUUAGGUGCAGAAGCAUAGUUAUUUUCAAUGUUCCAUUCACCUCCCAGUUUCUUGUAGAUUGUGUGUGAAUGUGGUUGUUUCACUCUAGUUUCUAGACAAGCUACCAUGUCUACUUUAUUGGUCCUCAAGAACUUUACUAGCUCUCUCUGUUUUGUAGGACUUGUUAAGCCCUCUAAUGUUCCAGGAGACAAUGAUCAUGG